Molecule: ribosomal RNA, 772 nt
Filed under: Cassava frogskin disease phytoplasma
Lineage: Bacteria; Bacillati; Mycoplasmatota; Mollicutes; Acholeplasmatales; Acholeplasmataceae
Description: bacterial SSU rRNA
Rfam family: Bacterial small subunit ribosomal RNA
Source: RNAcentral
ACUCCCUUGACGGUACUUAAUGAAUAAGCCCCGGCUAAUUAUGUGCCAGCAGCCGCGGUAAUACAUAAGGGGCGAGCGUUAUCCGGAAUUAUUGGGCGUAAAGGGUGCGUAGGCGGUUUAAUAAGUCUAUAGUUUAAUUUCAGUGCUUAACGCUGUUGUGCUAUAGAAACUGUUUUACUAGAGUGAGUUAGAGGCAAGCGGAAUUCCAUGUGUAGCGGUAAAAUGCGUAAAUAUAUGGAGGAACACCAGAGGCGUAGGCGGCUUGCUGGGACUUUACUGACGCUGAGGCACGAAAGCGUGGGGAGCAAACAGGAUUAGAUACCCUGGUAGUCCACGCCGUAAACGAUGAGUACUAAGUGUCGGGUAAAACCGGUACUGAAGUUAACACAUUAAGUACUCCGCCUGAGUAGURCGUACGCAAGUAUGAAACUUAAAGGAAUUGACGGGACUCCGCACAAGCGGUGGAUCAUGUUGUUUAAUUCGAAGAUACACGAAAAACCUUACCAGGUCUUGACAUUUUCUUGCGAAGUUAUAGAAAUAUAAUGGAGGUUAUCAGGAAAACAGGUGGUGCAUGGUUGUCGUCAGCUCGUGUCGUGAGAUGUUAGGUUAAGUCCUAAAACGAGCGCAACCCUUGUCGUUAAUUGCCAGCAUGUAAUGAUGGGGACUUUAACGAGACUGCCAAUGAAAAAUUGGAGGAAGGUGGGGAUUACGUCAAAUCAUCAUGCCCCUUAUGAUCUGGGCUACAAACGUGAUACAAUGGUUGAUACAAAGA